CCUACGGGUGGCAGCAGUGAGGAAUAUUGGUCAAUGGACGAGAGUCUGAACCAGCCAAGUAGCGUGAAGGAUGACUGCCCUCUGGGUUGUAAACUUCUUUUAUAAAGGAAUAAAACGAGGCACGUGUGCCUUUUUGCAUGUACUUUAUGAACAAGCAUCGGCUAACUACGUGCCAGCUGCCGCGGUAAUACGUAGGAUCCGAGCGUUAUCAGGAUUUAUUGGGUUUAAAGGGAGCGUAGAUGGGUUGUUAAGUCAGUUGUGAAAGUUUGCGGAUCAACCGUAAAAUUGCAAUUGAUACUGGCAGUCUUGAGUACAGUUGAGGUAGACGGAAUUCGUGGUGUAGCGGUGAAAUGCUUAGAUAUCACGAAGAACCCCGAUUGCGAAGGCAGCUUACUAAACUGUGACUGACAUUGAUGCUCGAAAGUGUGGGGAUCAAACAGGAUUAGAUACCCUUGUAGUC
This 460-nucleotide ribosomal RNA is filed under the name uncultured bacterium. RNAcentral's name for it is "partial 16S ribosomal RNA". It matches the Rfam family "Bacterial small subunit ribosomal RNA", at positions 338 to 795 of the family's 1533-position model. The record is from RNAcentral.